This 275-nucleotide long non-coding RNA is filed under the name Elaeis guineensis (African oil palm). Its description in RNAcentral is "long non-coding RNA (EGUI_LNC043010)". Lineage: Eukaryota; Viridiplantae; Streptophyta; Magnoliopsida; Arecales; Arecaceae. The record is from RNAcentral.
AGGUAGUCUUAGACUUCAAGUUGCUCUAUGAGCACUUGGUCUAGUUCUUUGAGAAUAAGAAGUUCUUGGAAGAAGGACCUAAGGCCAAAUAAGAGGGUAAAAAAGCGACCAAAGAGAAGGUAGCCAAGGAGGCCAAGACUGUCGAAGGCUUGAAGAAAUAGCUUUAAGAUAAAAUGGCCUUGAUAAAAGAAAAGAACCAGAGUCUGUUGGACCAGCACCAAAAAUAUAAAUGAUUAUGAAGAUAAGGUCGGCGAGCUGUGCAAGGAGGUGGAAGG